RNAcentral lists this long non-coding RNA (973 nucleotides) under Marmota monax (woodchuck). Lineage: Eukaryota; Metazoa; Chordata; Mammalia; Rodentia; Sciuridae. The record is from RNAcentral.
CAGCGGUAGAGUGCUCACCUAGCGCAGGCAAGGCCCUGGGUUCAAUCUUCAGCACCCCAUAAAAAUAAAUAAAAAAAAUGAAGAUUUUGACAACUACCAGUAAAAUACAAGAAAUGCUCACUGUAGCGUUCUCUGAGGAAGGAGGAUGGAGCACAUAGCUGAGCCUGGACGGUGGUGAGAUCACACUGGGAGGUAGUUAGCAAGGUUUUACUGGUACGGAGGGACUGCUAAGUGCCAGGAAACCUGGGAUGGACUUCCCCUGGAAGCACUUUCUCCCCUUCUAACUCCCGGUUUCUACAGCUGAAGACAAGAUCUAAAGCUCCAUCUAUGGAGGCUCCCAGGAGAAAGGAAGUGUCCAAACGGGAGGAGCCCCAGUCACGGUGAGGUUCUGACCUCACUGAGUGUGUUAGCUUUUUUAUGCAACAAAUACCUGACAUAGACAACUUGAAGGAAGGAAGGUCUGUUCUGGCUGACAGUUUAGAGGUUCCAGUCCAUGGUUGGUGACCGUGAGGCAGACACAGUCUGGUAGAGGAGCCUGGCACAAGAAAGUGGCUCAGCUCAUGGCAUCCAGGGCAGCAGGGGCCAGGGCAUACCCUAGAAGUGACCCACUUCCUCCAACUAGGUCCCAUUGCCCAAGAAUCCAUUAAAAUGAUCGAUCUAUCAAGUGGACGAAUCCACCUGGUGGAACUUCCCCAUGAGGUUAUAGCCCCAUGAUUCUGAAACCCUACCUCUGGGCAUUGCUGCACUGGGGACCAGGCCUUCAAGUACAAGAUCCUUUGAGGGACUUUCCAGAUCCACCCAUAAUGCCGAGGGAAGUCAAAACUGGGCCGGGAGCUCCGGAGAGUUUCCUUCACGUUCAUCAUGAUUCCUUAGGAGGCCAGAUCAAUCUGGCAUGAAAAGUGAAGGUGCAAAGGAGAGAGAAGGACAGGAGCAACAUCUGAAGACUCACAGUGGCCCAAAAGAGAAAAUACUG